Long non-coding RNA from Corvus hawaiiensis (hawaiian crow), 106 nucleotides. RefSeq lists it as uncharacterized. The transcript is spliced from 3 exons. NCBI's taxonomy places the organism in Eukaryota, Metazoa, Chordata, Aves, Passeriformes, Corvidae. The record is from RefSeq and is a predicted model, not a curated record.
CAGCAGGCACAGCAUUGCCAGGCAAGGGAGGGGAUUGUUCCACUCUGCUCUGCACUGGGGCAGCCUCACCUCAAUUCCUGGGGGCAGUUUUAGGCACUGAAAUGUA